Molecule: RNase P RNA, 346 nt
Filed under: Lachnospiraceae bacterium OttesenSCG-928-J05
Lineage: Bacteria; Bacillati; Bacillota; Clostridia; Lachnospirales; Lachnospiraceae
Also listed under: 4 other names
Description: RNase P RNA component class A
Rfam family: Bacterial RNase P class A
About the family: Ribonuclease P (RNase P) is a ubiquitous endoribonuclease, found in archaea, bacteria and eukarya as well as chloroplasts and mitochondria. Its best characterised activity is the generation of mature 5'-ends of tRNAs by cleaving the 5'-leader elements of precursor-tRNAs. Cellular RNase Ps are ribonucleoproteins.
Source: RNAcentral
UUAGUAAACCAGCUGAUCGCGGCUGCAAGUGCCGAAAGGCCGCAGGCGAGGAAAGUCCGGGCUUCAUAGGGCAGGAUGCCGGAUAACGUCCGGUGGAGGCGACUCCCAGGCUAGUGCAACAGAAAUAUACCGCCACAAUACGUGGUAAGGUUGGAAGGGCAGUGUAAGAGACUACCGCCUCUUUGGUAACAAAGAGGGCAUAUGUAAACCCCAUUCGAAGCAAGACCGAAUAAAGACAAUGCGGCGGCCCGUCGCGUCUUAGGUAGGUCGCUGGAGCCUAUCGGUAACGGUAGGCCUAGAUAGAUGAUCGGCAGAUACAGAACCCGGCUUACGGUUUGCUAAAGCA